UGCCGCUGCCCUCCUUGGGCGUUUCCUCCCUAGACUUGGGCCGUUCGUUCAAUCGGACGGCCCAUUUUUUUUUGAAUU
This 78-nucleotide small RNA is filed under the name Methyloceanibacter superfactus. RNAcentral describes it as "Makes More Granules Regulator RNA (mmgR)". It matches the Rfam family "Makes More Granules Regulator RNA (mmgR)". From Rfam's summary of the family: SuhB later renamed mmgR (makes more granules regulator) was a putative non-coding RNA found multiple times in the Agrobacterium tumefaciens genome and related alpha-proteobacteria. Other non-coding RNAs uncovered in the same analysis include: speF, ybhL, metA, and serC. The record is from Rfam by way of RNAcentral. Lineage: Bacteria; Pseudomonadati; Pseudomonadota; Alphaproteobacteria; Hyphomicrobiales; Hyphomicrobiaceae.